RNAcentral lists this long non-coding RNA (9568 nucleotides) under Eutrema salsugineum. Its description in RNAcentral is "long non-coding RNA (ESAL_LNC000221)". Lineage: Eukaryota; Viridiplantae; Streptophyta; Magnoliopsida; Brassicales; Brassicaceae. The record is from RNAcentral.
AUAGGUUUGGUACUUUAUGUUUCGGGCGUGUUUGGUGAUGUUGUACAUAUGUGUACUUCACCACUAGUGGCUUUGGUUGUUGUGUCGGCAUUUAAUUUUAUGGAUGAUGAUUUUAGUUGGCUUAGAAUAGGUGCUUUGAUAGGAACAGGUUUGGCUUUAGGAUCGUACUUCUACUCUCUGCACAAGAAAAACAAGAAGGAGAGGAAUGAACUUAAUCAAAGAGAGAACAAUGUUGAAGUUUAGUCUCUCAUGUCAAAUGUAUGUGGUGUCUUUUUUCAAAAUAUUUUCCUGUUCGGCUAAUUAAUCGUGUAAGUUAAUGUCCAAAUAUGUUGUAUCGAUCUGAAAGCUGUGUAAUUUAUUUGUUAAUUGUUUUAGUUGGAUUUCUUUGUUUCGUAUAUUACUAUUUUACAAUGCUUUGUUUAAGACUACAAUAUUGUGUACUAAAAAACUACAAUAUGUUAACACUCUUGAUCUAAACUCCAAACAUAUUCUAUAUAUUUCUUUAUUUUGAACAAGAUCUAUAAUGUUUGUGCUUUUAAAAUUCAAGAUUUUACUUUCUUACAAGUUUGUACAGAAAUUAUUUUAGUCCACUGAUCAGAAAGAUUAAGUAGGUGGAUUAGCUGACAACUUUAUCUAUAACCAUUAGUAAGAUGUAUGUAAUAUAAAAUUCAUUAAUCAAAAUUGAUAGUCUAAUUUAAAUAAAUAAAAAUUUAUAACCAAAUUAUGCAUAUAUAUAUUCUAAUCCGUGUUAAUAUAUAUAAAUACGUAUAUAAUAUCAUGUUCUAUUCAAUCCACAAUCUAUGUUGUGAAAUUCGGAAAUGGGGUGAACGUUUUGAAGAAGCACAAUUUCGCUAUGUAUCUCGUCAAUGUAAUGAGCCUGCUCAUCUUUUGGCCACAUCUCUUUCUAGUGAUACUUUGUUCUAUUCAAGUUGUAUAAAACCACCUCUGUGGUUAUCAUCUUCCCUUUAUAAGAACUAUGUAAACUCUUCUAUUUCUACUUAAUAUAAUUUCUUGUUUCGUCGAAAAAAAAAAUGUAUAUAAUAUCAUAUCACUUUCACAACUAAAAUUUUAUUUAUAUGUUAACCUGCACAAUAAAACUAACUCAAAUUUUUUAUGACGAUUAUAUAUAUAUAUACAUAAAUUUUGGGUGUAUGAUGUCAAUAUAUAAAUAGUUGCUAAAUAAUUUUAACUCAGCCAAAAGUUUAUUUUAAAAAAAAAUUCGUAAAGAAUCUAAAAAAAUAAUAAAUUAUAAUAAGAUUAGAAAAUAGAAAGUAGAAGUAUUAUUGUUAUCAAAAGAGGUUAUUGGGAAGAAGAUUUAUGUAAAAUUUGUGGAUUUAAAAAAUCUAGAGAUUUUAAGAAUCUCAAAGAUUUCUGUGGAUUAUAAAAAUUUACCAAUAUUUUUAGUGAUUUUGUAAUAACUUUUGUAGAUUGUCGUAGAUUUUCAAUGCAAACAAUAAACAAAUUAAUUUUAAAGAAAGUGAAACAAAUUGAAUCACAACAACUAGAGAGUUUACUAAUAAUUAGAGAGACAUAAUAACUUCUAAUAUGUGGCAAGAUGCAAUAUCAACUGGAAGUCAAUGAUGAUGAUGAAGUAUAUCAGUUUCUUGAUUUUGAGACACAUGUGCUUGUAGCUGAUAGAAUUGAAAUAUGUGUGUUAUGCAGGUCUUUUGAUGGAUAAAUUGCUUGUUAUCUCAUGGAAAAGAUAAAGCUAUAGACAAAUUUUUGGAAUUUUGUAACAUCUCUAUCCCGAAUUCUCUAAAAAGACCGAAAAAUCGGGUAUGUUUUGUUGGUAGUCAAACCUCAUUCGGUAAAGCAUCAGGUUUUCUCAUGGAUUUGAUAGCCGGCCCGUCUGGUUUUCGGAAGGGAAGAAGGAGCGGAAUCUCACAUUUUUAUUUAUAUGUUGCUGAGAUUUUGUCUUGUUAAACAUGUUGUUGUGGUAUUGUUUAUUAUGGAUUUGUUUUUGGUUUGUUUUUUUGGGAUAACUGAUGGUGAUGAAUAGAUAAUAUAUAUUGGAGAAAGAUUUUAAGAAUACACAGGGUACCUCUAGAAUAUUGAAAGUCAUUGCUAAUGACUAAAAAUAUAAAGAAUCAUUGUUUUAAUAACACUAUAGUUUAAUAGAAUUGAAAAAUCAAUAAAUACUUAACUCUUUUAAUAACACAAAUUUUUUAAAAAAUUUAUAUAAUCAACACACCAAUAACAUAAGAUUUCCAAAAUCAUUAUACCAAUAACAGAAGAUUUUAAUAAAAAUAUAAUAAUCUACAAACUAAUAACAAUAUAAUUUUAAACUCUAAAAAUUUUUAAAAAUUUAUCUUCCAAUAACAUCCACCAAGUAUCUAAGAUAUUGGGCCUAAUUGGGCUAAUCGAACCAGAGGUUCUUGGCCGUGGUAUGCGUAAGAAAACACAAUCUGUGAGGCUCGCUGAUCAUGUUCUCACUCUCCUACAUAACCUUUAUCCUACCGCGACACCAUAUCCUAUAGAUAACUACUUGUCUAGUGCCCAAUUUUUGGAUUCAUACCAGUCCUUCAUCUACGCCAUAACUGCAGGUUCAGAACCGAAAAGUUACAAAGUUGCAUUUGAAGAUGAGAAGUGGCGUUUUGCUGCCGAGGAUGAAAUGGUUGCAUUAGAGGAACUUGGAACCUGGACUAUCGAAGAUUUGCCUCCAGGGAAAAAGGCUCUCGGUUGUAAGUGGAUUUUUAAGUUGAAAUUCAACUCAGAUGGUACACUUGAGCGGCAUAAAGCCAGGCUUGUAGUCCUCGGAAACAACCAAACAGAGGGUGUCGAUUACAACGAAAUAUUUGCUCAUGUAGCAAAGAUGGUUACAGUUCGAACGUUUCUUCAACAAGUUGCGUCAAAUGAUUGGGAAGUGCAUCAGAUGGAUGUUCAUAAGGCCUUCCUUCAUGGCGAUUUAGACGAAGAAUUUUAUAUGAAAUUUCCACCUGGUUUUCAGUCCAAUGAACCCAAAAAAGUUUGUUGUCUUCACAAGGCUCUUUACGGUUUGAAGCAAGCUCCCAGAUGCUGGUUUGUGAAGCUUGCUACAGCUCUCAAGGAGUACGGUUAUGAGCAAAAUGGAUCGGAAUAUUCUUUGUUCAUUUAUGAAAAUGAGGAUAUUCUUCUUCACGUACUUGUGUACGUCGAUGAUCUCAUCAUCACGGGUAACUCUGCUUCUCUUGUUUCGGUUUUCAAGGAAUAUCUCAGUGACUGUUUUUGCAUGAAAGAUUUAGGACUUCUUCGGUAUUUCUUGGGUAUCGAAGUAGCUCACAGCUCGGAAGGAAUCUAUCUCUGUCAACGCAAAUACACGCUUGAUAUUCUCACAGAGACUGGCUUACUUGGCUCCAAACUGGUUGUGUUUCCAUUGGAACAGAACCAUAAACUGGCGUUGGCUAAAGGUGCUUCCAUGACUGAACUGUAUCUUUAUCGACGCUUGGUUGGAAAGCUCAUUUAUUUGGGAGUUACAAGACCGGAAUUGUCUUAUGUCAUUCAUGUUCUUUCAUAGUUCAUGUAUGCUCCUAAACAGGCUCAUUGGGAUACAGUUCUUCGCGUCGUCAAGUAUCUCAAAAACAGUCCAGGACAGGGGAUUCUUCUUCGUGCAAACACACCGUUAACAUUGACGGCUUGGUGCGACUCGGACUGGGCAUCUUGUCCGCUCACUCGUCGCUCACUCACAGGAUGGUUUAUACAACUUGGGGGUUCACCAUUGUCUUGGAAGACUCGCAAACAUGAUGUUGUCUCUCGCUCCUCGGCUGAAGCCGAAUAUCGAGCUAUGGCGGAUACAGUGUCUGAGAUACUUUGGUUACGUGAACUACUUCCUACUCUAGGUAUGGACUGCUCGGCUCCAACGAUGUUGUAUUCUGAUAGUCUUUCUGCGAUCAAGCUUGCUAAGAAUCUUGUGUAUCAUGCUCGCACAAAGCAUGUUGAACUUGAUUGUCACUUUAUUCGCGAUGAGAUUAUAUGAGAUACGAUCUCCCCUGGCACAUGUGUCUACUACUUCCCAAUUGGCUGAUAUUAUGACAAAAAUUUUAGGAAGAAAAGAGUUUGAAGCAUUUCUUUGCAAGCUGGGUGUUCGUAACCUCCACACGCCACCUUAAAGGGGGAGAGGGGGUAUUAGGCCUAAUUGGGCUUACAUAAUUAGGCUUAGGUUUUUGUAUGUACAUCACACAUACUUGUAUAAAAGGCAUUGCCUCAACAAUUUGAUCAAUAAGAAAUCUCUUUACCACAUUCACGAUUUCUUGACAUAAGACUUCGAUUGAUCUGCUACCGGGCUUUUGUCUGAAACAUAUCCAUGUAAGCGUGUUCGACGUGGCUUUUGGACCGACUGUUUGAUAAGGAACAAGAGGCCGUAGAUAAUUCAUACUACACAAGUCUUGCCGUCGACUCUUUAUAAGGUAGGAACGAGCCGUCUAAAGUUACUAUUUCGUUUAAAAGUCUUCUUCAAUCUUCGUAGUCCUAAUUUAGUAGUUUACUGGGUUAUUAGAUAUCAGUUACAGCCUAACUAUUUUGUUUUGUUGCUUUUCUUUCUUUUAUUUCAUAGUCCUAAUUUAGUAGUUUACAGCCUAACUAUUUUGUUUUUUUCUUUUGUUUUUUCUUAAUUCUUACAAAAUAUAAAAGAUCAUGUGGUUAAAGAAAGUGUUAAUUUAUAUAUCUAUACCAAAAAAUGUGGUGUUCGAAUUUUUCCAGAUUAAUGAAAGUAAACUUACAAUAAAUAUUCGACAUAGUGCAAUGGUGCAAAUAAAGUUAUUCGUUGUAAUUCUAAUCUGUUAAUUUUUGUGAAACAGAUAACUUAUGAGUUAAAAAAUUGUUCUACUAAUUGAUUUUUUUUUUAAUUUAUAAUAUAAUACGGCAAAAAAGAAAUUCAUACAAAACUAAAAAAAAAAAAAGAUGAUGGAAGUUUACAAAAAGAAAAAAGAUGUAAGAUUUCAAAGCCAAAUAAAUAAAACGUUUGCUAAAUAUCAAUUGUUACUUUGAUAAUGACCUCAGUAAUCAUUAGUAUACAUGUAUUUAUGCCAUGUUUUGGGUCUAUUAAAAAACUUGAUGGAUAGAUUACUUGACGGCUAUAUUUACGCUAAUUUUUUUAUCAUGUAUCAUUCUAGAAACUUUUGAUUAAAUUUUUAAAGCUUGACUAGAUUUUGCGUCCACGCUAUGCGAGGGUAUUUUGUUAAUAAAAAUUAUAUGCAAUCAAUUAUAUUUAUUAAGAUAUAAAUUUUAUAUAUUAGUGAUUUAAUAAUAUAUUAAAAAUAUUAUAAUGUUAAUAUAAUAAUUUUUAUGUAAAUUUUGAGGUUUUAACGGUUUUGUUUUAAAUCUAUAUACAAUAUGUCAUAUUUUAAAAAUGUAUUAUUUGGUCAAACAUUUAUAAGUUAAUAUACCCAAAUCAACUAAAUUUUUUUAUAAAUUAGUCAAAUGGUACUUACUAAACAUAAUAUUGACAUGAUGAUAAAAUAUUAUACGUUCACUUCUUUAAAUCAUGAAGAUAAUUUUUUUCAUGGUUCACUUUUCUUCCAAUUAUAUAUGUAUUUUUUAAAAACAAUAAUAAAUUUAAAAAUUAAUCUUUUUUUUUUCUCUUGUUUAACCGAUACAAAUUUUUUUAUUUUGUUAUAUUAAUUUAAAAAACAAACUAAUAAAUAAAAUAUUUGCUUUUAGAUUAAUAACAACUUUAAAUUUGAAACCAAAAUAUUAUUUGAAUAUAAAAUAAAGAAAAUCAUACAAAAUUUGUGAAUUAAAUAUAUUUUUAUCAAUUGGUUGUGUAAACGUUUAAAUAAUUUUUCAAUGAUUAUACGUCAUUGAUUCUAAUAAGAAUGAUUUUUUUUCAUCAUGUUUAUUUUUGUUAUAUCUGUUUUUUCAACUAAUAGAUCAUAUUUAUUUAUUUAAAUGAUUUUUAUAUGAUUAUAUUCAGUUUCAUCAUAUUCAAUCUUACUUCUUUUAAUUAUAUUUAAGUAGGCAGUCGGUACAAUUUAAUACAUAUAAAUUUAAAAAAAAUAAAAUAACAAAUUGAAAUCCUCAAAACUAAAAACUUCUACAUUAAUCUAUUGCAAUUCCAAACCGAAUAUACAAAAUAUAAAUUUUUCGAUCAUUUUUGCAUAAUAUAUUAAAUGAGAUUAUGUGGAAAUAUGUUUUGCAUAUGUGAAAAAAUUAAUAUAAAUUAUAAUUAUUAGUUAUUUAAAAUUCUAAAUGAAAAGUCUUAAAAUCAAGUAACAUAAACUUGUAUAAGUAAUAUAUAGUUUUAUAGAUAAUAAAUUAAAUUUAUAAUUUAAACAGUAAUAAUGAAGAUUUUAAUAUCAUGGUUUUUUAUUAUUAGAGAUUUUUUAUUCUUUAAUUUACUUUCUCAAUAGAAUUAGGAAAUUUUUUUAAAUUUACAAUUUUGAUAUAUACGAAUAAAUUUUAAUUUUUAAAUGCUGAUGUGGAUGCCUUGAAAAUAACAUAACUUUAAUUUUUAUUCAUAAUAGAAUAGUUUUAAUUAAUAAUUUUUCUAUAUUGUUUAGUAUUAACAAUGUAAUUUUAUAAUUUAGAUUUCUUUUUUUAAUGUUAGUUAUUGAUGUACACUAAUAAAAUUGACCUUUUAAAUCUUAUGUGGAUGUCUUUAGAGGCAUAUAGCUUAUAUAUUUAUUUUUCUAUAAACAUAUUUUUUGUUAACCAUAUAAUUUUAAAUUUUGAAAAUUUUUUCUAAUUUUAAAUAUUGAUGUAAACCAAUCAAAUUGAACAUUUACAUCAUAUGUGGACAUUCUUAGAGGCAUAUAGCUUUUAAUUUUUUUUUAAUAAUAGAUUUAGAAAUCAAAGUUGGAAGAUCCCACACGAGGCAAGUGAUUAUGGUCUCUCCUUGUUUUUUGGCUUACCGAAUGUAUUCGCAUGCUGCUUGGUCAACUAAUUGUUACUUUUUUGGUUAAUGUUAGGUUGUUAAAACCCCAUCAGAUGUUAUGUUAUUUCAAAAAUCUUCGGCUUAAUGACAGAACUUCUUUCUCUAUUUUCAGUGCUUCGUUUUUCAAAAGUGUCAUGAUUUUGGUCUCGCCUCCUUGUUUUUGAGGCUUACCUAAUAUAUUUGGAUGCUUCUUGGUCAGCUAAUUGUUACUUUUGUGCUUAAUGUUAGGUUGUUGAAAUCGUAUCAGAUGCCAUGUUAUUUCAAAAAUCUUCCUCAAAUAACUUAAUCUCCUUCGUCUUAAUGACGAAACAUCUUUCUCUAUUUUUAGUGCUUUGUUUUUUAAAAGUGUCGAGUAUCAAUCACUUGACAUGUUUCUCGGAUUGCUUGAAAUUUAUCAUUCUUCUCAAAUUUGGUGGCCAAACUUAUUUUUCGGUCUCUUUUUCGAUAUUAAAGCAGUUUGUAAAGACUUUGUUUAUAUCUCGUUUCAUUAUAUUCUUUAUAAUUUAGCUAAUAGCUAAACUUAUAGUUUAGCCAAGUUGGUUAUUUUACGUUGUAAUGACUCAUUUUUUUGUGAAACCUAACUCUAUUUUUUUUUUUUAAUUUGAAAUGGUUGUACACACAAAAAAAAAACUUAAAAAAUUAUUAUAGUUAUGUGACAAAAAUUUGGAUACUAAUGUAAGAAUCUCUAAAUAUGUGUGUAUACAUCUAAUUUAAAUUUAAAAUUUUCUAUUUUAAUAUUAUUUAUUUUAGUUUUUUAUUAUUAACAAAAAAUUUAUAUAUAAUUACUUUAUCUUUAAUAAUUUUUAAAAAUAAUAAUGGAAUUUGAAAAAAAAAAGUAAUUUUCAAUGUUGAGAUGGACCAAUAAAAAAUUUAUAUAGAAUUUUUUUAAUCAACAAUAAUCAGAAUUUGUAAACUUUCUUAAUUUAUUUAUUUAGCAACAAUAUUAAAAAUUUGUAAACUUUUCUUAUUUUUGAUUGUUGAUGUGGACCAAUAGAAUUGCCAUUUUUAAUCAUAUGCAUUUAACUUCAACUUUUAUUAGUAUAAGAUAAGAUAUGCAAUUACGUUCUAUAAAAAAUAAGUUUAUUGGCCAAAUUAAUAAAAUUGAAUGAAAAUUUUUAAUAUUUUUAAGGUUUCAUCCAUAUUCUAACAUCUUUUCGCAUUUUGAUUCAAAUAUAGAGAUAUUUUCGAAGUACCAAUCUUGUCUCAGGAUCUUAUCGUAUUAUCUAUCUGGAUUUUUAAUUACUGAAAAUAGUUAUAUUGUCUCAGGAUCUUAUCGUAUUAUCUGGAUUUUUAAUUACUGAAAAUAGUUAUAUCGCCGCCAAGAUGGAACUAGUCAUUGUUUAACGCACCUGUCCUCAACUAUUCUCAUAAUAUCUUCUUUCUUUUUUGUCGGAACUAUUCUCAUAAUAUCUAAGAGAAACAAUUGAAAAUAUUAUAUAAGAUAUCCACAUAGAAUGAAAUUUUACAUAUUUUAAUUAAAUCUUCAGAGUUAAGACCAGAAGUCAGAAGCUUCCAAACAGAUGACAAGAAAUGGUAAUUUCACUGUCUCAACUCAUUUCUAUGAUAUUAUCUGAUAAACACUGAGAAUUCCAAUUUUUCUUUAACUAACAGAAGAAUCAGAACAAGUUCAGAAUCCAGAACCAGACCAGAGCUUGAGCCAAAGAAGAUUGUUGAUGCUAAAUCAAAGAAAAUGGUGGAUCUCUGUUUCUUUAUGUCUUUUCUUAGUCUUGCUCGGAGAUUCUCUCGUCAUGCUUCUCUUGAACUUCUUCUAUGUCCAAGACAAUCGAGAAGAUUAUGACCAAGAUCUACAGUACAAAGGAACAUGGACUCAAGCUCUGAUCCAAAACGCUGCGUUUCCAAUCCUUAUCCCUCUCUUCUUUAUAUUUCCUUCACCAAAACCAAACCCUGAAACCAACAAUACUCGUUUCCUCUCUUUUCGUCUUCUCAUGCUUUACUUCGCUCUUGGUGUUCUUGUUGCUGCUCAUAGCAAAUUAUUCGCGCUUGGGAAGUUAUACGCAAACUAUGCCAUAUUCACGUUGAUUUCCGCCUCCCAGUUGAUAUUUACCGUGAUUUUCACUGCCAUUAUAAACCGAUUCAAGUUUAACCGAUGGAUUAUCAUAUCUAUAAUCCUCACUCUUGUUGUAUACCUUUUCGGUAAUCCUGAAUUUGGAGGAGAGCCUGUUGAAGCCGAAGUAUCCUAUAGCAAGCAAGCUUGGUUAACCUUUGCUGCUGUAGUUGCUUUCGCAUUAUAUCUCUGUUUAUUCCAACUAGGUUUCGAGAAACUUUUGGUGAAGACAAAGAGAUAUGGUAACAAGAAAGUGUUUAGAAUGGUCUUAGAGAUGCAAAUAUGUGUAUCUUUUGUGGCCUCGGUAGUUUGCCUUAUUGGUUUGUUUGCGAGUGGUGAGUUUAAGGAGUUGAAAGGUGAUAGCGAGAGGUUUAAGAAGGGGAACAUAUUACGUUUUGAGUUUGGUCGGGUUGGCUUUGUCGUGGCAGGUUUGGGCGGUCGGGCUAGUAGGUUUGGUGCUUUAUGUUUCGGGUGUGUUUGGUGAUGUUGUACAUAUGUGUGCUUCACCACUUGUGGCUUUGGUUGUUGUGUUGGCAUUUGAUUUUGUGGAUGAUGAGUUUAGUUGGUCUAGAAUAGGUGCUUUGAUAGGAACCGUUUUGGCUUUAGGAUCUUACUUCUGCUCACUGUACAAGAAUAGCAAGAAAUAUCAAAGAGAA